RNAcentral lists this unclassified non-coding RNA (291 nucleotides) under Hevea brasiliensis (rubber tree). Lineage: Eukaryota; Viridiplantae; Streptophyta; Magnoliopsida; Malpighiales; Euphorbiaceae. The record is from RNAcentral.
AAAAAAAAAAAAAAAAGGAUUCAAUAGCAUCCACUUGGAAGGCCCAAAAGCACUAGCACAUAAGAGGCUAAGAAAACUUUCUUAGUCCAUACCUUUUUGAUGAAAUUAGACAAAUUUAAGAUGUUAAACAUCAGGAAGACAUAUCUAAAGUAGAUUUUGACUGUGAAUUGCAAGUCAUGAGUACCUAGCAGGCAUGGAAAUAAAUCCAGCAGAGUACAAAUCUAAGAAUUUAUUUGCAGUUCAAAAUACACAUGCAAGCAUGCAUGUGUGUGUGUGUGUGAAAGAGAGAGA